GGGCCCGCACAAGCGGUGGAGUAUGUGGUUUAAUUCGAUGCAACGCGAAGAACCUUACCAGGGUUUGACAUCCUGCGAAUCUCUUGGAAACAGGAGAGUGCCUUCGGGAACGCAGUGACAGGUGGUGCAUGGCUGUCGUCAGCUCGUGUCGUGAGAUGUUCGGUUAAGUCCGGCAACGAGCGCAACCCACAUCUUUAGUUGCCAGCAGUUCGGCUGGGCACUCUAAAGAAACUGCCCGUGAUAAGCGGGAGGAAGGUGUGGAUGACGUCAAGUCCUCAUGGCCCUUACGACCAGGGCUACACACGUGCUACAAUGGUAGGUACAGAGGGCAGCUACACAGCGAUGUGAUGCGAAUCUCAAAAAGCCUAUCGUAGUCCAGAUUGGAGUCUGCAACUCGACUCCAUGAAGUAGGAAUCGCUAGUAAUCG
Molecule: ribosomal RNA, 427 nt
Filed under: uncultured bacterium
Lineage: Bacteria
Description: bacterial SSU rRNA
Rfam family: Bacterial small subunit ribosomal RNA
Source: RNAcentral